UACAGAGGGGGCAAGCGUUAUUCGGAAUUAUUGGGCGUAAAGGGCGCGUAGGCGGUGCGGUAAGUCACCUGUGAAACCUCUGGGCUUAACUCAGAGCCUGCAGGCGAAACUGCCGUGCUUGAGUGUGGGAGAGGUGCGUGGAAUUCCCGGUGUAGCGGUGAAAUGCGUAGAUAUCAGGAGGAACACCUGCGGUGUAGACGGCUUACUGGACCAUCACUGACGCUGAGGCACGAAAGCGUGGGUAGCAAACAGG
RNAcentral lists this ribosomal RNA (253 nucleotides) under uncultured bacterium. RNAcentral's name for it is "partial 16S ribosomal RNA". It matches the Rfam family "Bacterial small subunit ribosomal RNA", at positions 524 to 776 of the family's 1533-position model. The record is from RNAcentral.